UGUGCGGGUGCUAAUACAUGCAAGUCGAGCGAACUGAUUAGAAGCUUGCUUCUAUGACGUUAGCGGCGGACGGGUGAGUAACACGUGGGCAACCUGCCUGUAAGACUGGGAUAACUUCGGGAAACCGAAGCUAAUACCGGAUAGGAUCUUCUCCUUCAUGGGAGAUGAUUGAAAGAUGGUUUCGGCUAUCACUUACAGAUGGGCCCGCGGUGCAUUAGCUAGUUGGUGAGGUAACGGCUCACCAAGGCAACGAUGCAUAGCCGACCUGAGAGGGUGAUCGGCCACACUGGGACUGAGACACGGCCCAGACUCCUACGGGAGGCAGCAGUAGGGAAUCUUCCGCAAUGGACGAAAGUCUGACGGAGCAACGCCGCGUGAGUGAUGAAGGCUUUCGGGUCGUAAAACUCUGUUGUUAGGGAAGAACAAGUACGAGAGUAACUGCUCGUACCUUGACGGUACCUAACCAGAAAGCCACGGCUAACUACGUGCCAGCAGCCGCGGUAAUACGUAGGUGGCAAGCGUUAUCCGGAAUUAUUGGGCGUAAAGCGCGCGCAGGCGGUUUCUUAAGUCUGAUGUGAAAGCCCACGGCUCAACCGUGGAGGGUCAUUGGAAACUGGGGAACUUGAGUGCAGAAGAGAAAAGCGGAAUUCCACGUGUAGCGGUGAAAUGCGUAGAGAUGUGGAGGAACACCAGUGGCGAAGGCGGCUUUUUGGUCUGUAACUGACGCUGAGGCGCGAAAGCGUGGGGAGCAAACAGGAUUAGAUACUGGG
RNAcentral lists this ribosomal RNA (770 nucleotides) under Priestia megaterium. RNAcentral's name for it is "bacterial SSU rRNA". It matches the Rfam family "Bacterial small subunit ribosomal RNA", at positions 37 to 790 of the family's 1533-position model. The record is from RNAcentral. Lineage: Bacteria; Bacillati; Bacillota; Bacilli; Caryophanales; Bacillaceae.